RNAcentral lists this ribosomal RNA (503 nucleotides) under uncultured bacterium. RNAcentral's name for it is "partial 16S ribosomal RNA". It matches the Rfam family "Bacterial small subunit ribosomal RNA", at positions 30 to 523 of the family's 1533-position model. The record is from RNAcentral.
AUUGAACGCUGGCGGCAGGCUUAACACAUGCAAGUCGAGCGGGGUGAUGGUGCUUGCACUAUCACUUAGCGGCGGACGGGUGAGUAAUGCUUAGGAAUCUGCCUAUUAGUGGGGGACAACAUCUCGAAAGGGAUGCUAAUACCGCAUACGUCCUACGGGAGAAAGCAGGGGAUCACUUGUGACCUUGCGCUAAUAGAUGAGCCUAAGUCGGAUUAGCUAGUUGGUGGGGUAAAGGCCUACCAAGGCGACGAUCUGUAGCGGGUCUGAGCGGAUGAUCCGCCAGACGGGGACGGAGACACGGCCCAGACUCCUACGGGAGGCAGCAGUGGGGAAUAUUGGACAAUGGGGGGAACCCUGAUCCAGCCAUGCCGCGUGUGUGAAGAAGGCCUUAUGGUUGUAAAGCACUUUAAGCGAGGAGGAGGCUCUUUUGGUUAAUACCCAAGAUGAGUGGACGUUACUCGCAGAAUAAGCACCGGCUAACUCUGUGCCAGCCGCCGCCGUAA